GAUGAACGCUGGCGGCGUGCCUAAUACAUGCAAGUCGAGCGAACGGACGAGAAGCUUGCUUUUCUGAUGUUAGCGGCGGACGGGUGAGUAACAUGUGUAUAACCUACCUAUAAGACUGGGAUAACUUCGGGAAACCGGAGCUAAUACCGGAUAAUAUUUUGAACCGCAUGGUUCAUAAGUGAGAUACGGUCUUGCUGUCACUUAUAGAUGGAUCCGCGCUGUAUUAGCUAGUUGGUAAGGUAACGGCUUACCACGGCGACGAUGCAUAGCCGACCUGAGAGAGUGAUCGGCCGCACUGGAGGUGAGACACGGUCCAGACUCCUACGGGAGGCAGCAGUAGGGAAUCGUAGGCAAUGGGGGAAAGCCUGACGGAACAACGCGGCGUGAGUGAUGAAGGUCUUCGGAUCGUAAAACUCUGUUAUGAGGGAAGAACAUAUGUGGAAGUAGCUGUGCAGAUCUUGACGGUACCUGGUCAGAAAGCCACGGCUAACUACGUG
This 497-nucleotide ribosomal RNA is filed under the name uncultured bacterium. RNAcentral's name for it is "partial 16S ribosomal RNA". It matches the Rfam family "Bacterial small subunit ribosomal RNA", at positions 28 to 507 of the family's 1533-position model. The record is from RNAcentral.